Molecule: microRNA precursor, 172 nt
Filed under: Medicago truncatula (barrel medic)
Lineage: Eukaryota; Viridiplantae; Streptophyta; Magnoliopsida; Fabales; Fabaceae
Description: MIR2619 microRNA precursor family
Rfam family: MIR2619 microRNA precursor family
Source: Rfam by way of RNAcentral
AAACCGUCCCCUAAGUUUUGCAACUGUAGCAGUUUUGGCACCCCAAGGUCAAUUUUUGAUAAAAAAAAAUAACACGUGGCACCUCAUUUAGGGUGCCACGUCAGCGUAGACCGAGUCAAAAUUAGUUUUGGGGGCCAAAACUGCCACAUAUGCAAAAUUUAGGGGACGGUUU